ACCUCGAGUGUGUUCCCUUUUUGAGAAAUGAUGGCAGAGGUUUGCUGACGCUGUGAGAGAGCAGCAGGCUCCGUGUCCUGUCAUCAUCCAUAUUCAAAGGAGAAAACAAAUGUUAACAAUUAUGUCAAGUCACAACAAUCCAGCCACCUGGCAGUGGCCUUUAAAAGCUCAAGAAUGCACAUAACCUGAAGCAACUGAAAUUGAGGGUUUUUCUCGUCCUUCCGGUUAGGAGGAAUUUCAACAGCGAGGCGAAUUCCGGCUGAGCCACUGUUCCAGUUGCCGGUCGUUUUUGCUCAAGAAAUUGAUGUUGGCCUGGAUAAGUUCCAGGGACUGCAUCAGCGAACGUUUACCACUUCCGACGUUGACGUUGCGGAAAAAUGUCUGCACGGAUUUCAGAUCCAGCGGGUCGUGAAAGUGCGAAACGGCCGCCACGAUCAGCCGGCCUAUCGUGAACGAGGCUCUACCGAAUGUGACCUCGAUCAUGUUCCAGCGCGUCUGCAAUUGACGCCAGACUAGCAGAGAUCCGACCGGAUUCCUAGCCACCGA
Molecule: long non-coding RNA, 546 nt
Organism: Daphnia pulex (common water flea)
Lineage: Eukaryota; Metazoa; Arthropoda; Branchiopoda; Diplostraca; Daphniidae
Exons: 2
Source: RefSeq, a predicted model, not a curated record